GGAGUUUGGGCCGUGUCUCAGUCCCAAUGUGGCCGAUCACCCUCUCAGGUCGGCUAUGGAUCGCGGUCUUGGUGGGCCGUUACCCCGCCAACUAACUAAUCCAACGCGGGCCCAUCUUGCACCGAUAAAUCUUUUCCGGAUAGACCAUGCGGUCCUACUGGCUUAUGCGGUAUUAGCAGUCGUUUCCAACUGUUGUCCCCCUGUGCAAGGCAGGUUACCCACGCGUUACUCACCCGUCCGCCACUAAGUUUAAUCUUCCAUUGGAGCAAGCUCCGCUUUCUUACUAAACUCCGUUCGACUUGCAUGUGUUAAGCACGCCGCCAGCGUUCAUC
Molecule: ribosomal RNA, 332 nt
Filed under: uncultured Oscillospiraceae bacterium
Lineage: Bacteria; Bacillati; Bacillota; Clostridia; Eubacteriales; Oscillospiraceae
Description: partial 16S ribosomal RNA
Source: RNAcentral